UGGGUCUGGUGACUGCAUGUGGGAUGCAUACAUGUGCUGUGGUGGCUCUCGUUGUGCCUCUUGACUUCUCCGUGUCUUAGCCACAGUUUAAGUGGGAAUCCUCUGCUUACUUAGGAGCGGUUGCCAUGGUGACCUGCCAACAGGACAAAUACAAUUCUAAGAGGAAGGAAUGGCAUCAUAGAAACAGAGAGAGCAUCCAAGGUCAACACUGCUGGGAACUCUGCUGCCUGGGAUUCUAGGGCAGCCGGGACAUCAGCCUUGACAGGGACUGCUCAGGACCCCACAGGUGAGCAAAGAUCUGCCUUCAGCAGGAACCCUGUGGGCUUAGUGGCCCUGGCACCUCCUCUUGGCGACCCUAUACACCAAUCCUACAGCUCUGGUGGGAAUUCUCACUGCAUGAGCUAUGACUAGAGUCCAGCUCAGUCUUGAUUCUCCCUACAAGACCCCAUCAUGGCUCGCCCACUGAAGGCCCUGAAUAGAGGCUACCCUACUGUACUUCAGCACAGGCCAUUAAAAAGGCUACUGAAAGACUUGAUGGAAGCUACGGGAAGGUUCUGAGACAAGAUGGAUAUUGUCUGGCUACACUGUUGCAACUAGUAUCCAAGACGUGAAAAGCCAACAGUGUGGCCAGGGAGAGACGAGAAACAGAAGACAGCAGUAUGGUUUGGAUCCAAAAUGUCCCACAGACUAUGGUUUGGAUCCUUUUCCUCCUGGGUUUUUGGAGGUCAUAGAAACUUUCAUAGGUAGGGGAGGGCCUUCAAAGGUGAUUGGUACCUGCCCUGUUUGGCAUGGCUCUGUACUUUGCUUUCUGGCCUGUCGUCUUGAGAAGCCAAACACUUCCGCACCCUGUCACGUCAAUACCCCCACCCCCACUCCAACUCCCAGCUACUACAGGCAGAGCCUCUCUGCCUUCCUGGCUCAACCCAAGACCAAUAUCAUAAAACAAGACAAAUCCUUUCUCAAAUUGUUUUCUAGUCAGACACAGUCAAAGUAAGGUCAAAGGUGGAGUUCGGGAUGAAACCAUCAGAUGGUAGGGUAUGCGCAGAGGGUGGAUCCUGGUUCCAUAUCAUUCCAGAGUCCACCUCGAUCCCAGGAAGCCAGCUCCCCUUUCCCGUGGGGGUGGAUUCUGCCCUCCAGAGCUUUCUCUGUCCUGAGUUUUAAGUUCCUCAGCUGACUCAAGUGCCCACAGGACUGGCCCUGCCUCUUUCCUGGGCUCUGUAUUCUGCUUCUCUGUCCUCGUAGGGAAAGAUCUACACCAUGGUCAGCUCUGAGUCAGUACUUCCAAGGACUCCUCUCUACCUGGCAUACUCCCAACCUGAUCGUCCUCAUCCAGUUAUUAAGGGGUUUUUCUUCCCCUUGCUAUCCACGGAACAACUCAAUUCUCCCCACCUCGAGGAGCAGCCCCUGGCUUCUACUCACCACCGAGGCACCCUGUUUCAUUUUCACAUAAACAUCUGUCUCCCUGUCUGUGAGGAGACUGCACCACCCCCCGAAAGAAAGAAGCAACAUAAACCAGGGAUGUCGCUGGCAGCUUCUCGGCUUCCCCGGCUUCUGGAACAUGGCCCAGCCGAGACCAGGAAGCCGGUAGAGGAAGACUGCUGUGUUGGCUGUUUUCCUAAGAUUUAAACAGGUUCACGGCCCAAGAGCACGUUCGUCAUGUGAGGAUUCACCAGCACUGGCUAAAGCAUCCCUCUGCGGGACGGAACGGAGCUUCUCGGCCACAGCACAGCUGUCACUGACGGAUAAUACAGGAAAAAUCAAGGCCAGAUCCCUAAGCCACGUCUAAGAUGGGGGUGUCCAUGUACCACCAAUUCAUUUAACUCUACCUGCAUUGUUCUCCCUCGGGGCUUUCUGCAGCCCCUCCCCCACCCCAUCACUCCUUUCUCCUAGACUCUGACCUGUAGAGGCUUCUUCCUACAAAUGGUCUCUGGGAAAAGGUAACUAGCCAUCCCCUCCUUGUCUUGUAAAGCUGAGGUCACUGUUGCAAGGCUGACCUUAAAAGGCAGAGUUAUCCCAAGACACCCCUGUCCCCAAUUACUCUUCUUUACAUAUAUAGAAAGUGACACCUUCUCACAGCCCUGUGCUUGCCCGCACCUGGAUCUUUUAUACUGUCAAGCUUGGUGCCUCCCUCAUCCCCACAGGGCCACGGGAGAGCUAACCAGCUAUUUGUCUGAAAUCUUGACCAUGAACUCUGCAGCCGGCCCGCGGCUCAGUGCCCCCAGCAUGCAGUUCAGCAGAGCUGUCUGCAAGCUGCUCACCCUUCAUUCCUGCACAGAACCCUGUCAUGGCCGUGGAUGUGAGCCGUUCAAGAUCACAGGCUGGGUCCUGCUCUGACUGGCAGGCUGGACGUGAGCCACGGGCAAGUCAGCCUGUCUGGGUCACAGCCCACAUAGUCAAUCAUCCAGCCGCCAGGUGGUAGGCCGUGAUCCCACCACCUCUGUCUCUGAGUAGCAAGAUAUCAGACGAGUGUUGAGCAAAACUCCAGCACUCCAGGCGUCAGCAGUGAAGAGUGGUACCCCAGAAUCUCAGAUGUCUCUAAUGCUUAGUGCUGACCCAGCACCUGAGCAUCUAUGCAUUCAGUGAUGCUGAAGAAUCUCAGGGCAUGAACUUGUUUUUCCGCUGUGCUUCCUGGAAAUCUCCACCUGGUGAACUUGGGGUAUUUUUUUUUCUUUUCUUUUUUUCCGGAGCUGGGGACCGAACCCAGGGCCUUGUGCUUGCUAGGAAAGCUCUCUACCGCUGAGCUAAAUCCCCAACCCCGAACGUGGGGUAUUAUAUAUUCUGUGAACCUCAGUAAAGCUUUGGCAUUCUCGUAACACGAA
Non-coding RNA from Rattus norvegicus (Norway rat), 2819 nucleotides. Lineage: Eukaryota; Metazoa; Chordata; Mammalia; Rodentia; Muridae. The record is from RefSeq and is a predicted model, not a curated record.